Molecule: long non-coding RNA, 2282 nt
Organism: Dermochelys coriacea (leatherback sea turtle)
Lineage: Eukaryota; Metazoa; Chordata; Testudines; Dermochelyidae
Exons: 3
Source: RefSeq, a predicted model, not a curated record
GGUAGUAUAGUUCUGCAAGAUUCAGAUUACAUCCUACAGAUAACAGCUGAUGCACAUUGGUAACCUGUGUGAAUUACCUAAGGAAACCAUGACAUUUAAAGGACUGCUCUGAAUUGAGUGCAGAUCAACAGGCAAAUACUAAUUGAGUGGAAGAUUGUGUUUUCAACAUGAUUACUGGAAGCUUCCUCUAGGACUACUUAACACAGGAAACUUGUGCCUCUUACCCCAUCAGCAGAUCUAAAUACCGCCCCACCCACGUCUACUACAAGGGACGUCAGUCAGGAAUGUCAGAGUUUCCUGUCAAGAAAAGGACAAGACAUCUUCAACUGAUAAGAAAUGCAGGGGUUGAGAAGGGAAUGAUGGAACAGCUGUUGCAGAUGACAGAUGCAUCUUACAAGUUAGAUCAGGAAGAUUUUGUGCACAUUUUACAUCACUUGAAGGCUAUUUUUAUAUAUUCUCAUAAGUGUAUUGCUCCCAAUAUUUCAAGGAAUUAAACUGCAUUCUGAGUGGGAGAGAAGGGAAAUAACUGAAAAAUGGAAAGGAUGGGAAAGGAUGGCUAGAGGAGCUGCGGGGGGAGACACAUUGUACUUGGAUGUCCAGCUCAUUGACUUCAGAAAGGGAAUAUUACCCUAAUAUUUUAAAUUUGUUCUAGGAAAUUCACUGCUCAUGUUUAAAUUUUUUCCAACUGAGCCUUCCUCCCCCCCCCCCCCUUCCUUUGCUGCCAGGAAGGUAUUUCCUUGGAAACCAUCAAACCAAAGGAAUUUUUUAAUUUGUAAAUGCUUCUCCCUGGUUCCCACUUUUCCAGCUCCAGAAACAUUUUAGGUUUUUCUCUGACUUACCUGCUUCUCAAUUCCUUUAUUUUUAAAUUUAUUUUAUGAAUAAUUUAAUUCCUUUGAUUUUUUUUUUCCACACCAGUCUCCAUAGAAAAAGAAUGCAUGAAACAUGCAAUCAAAAAUUGCAGCCAGGCAGACAGAAAAGCAAGUCAGAGCAGAAGCUGUAGUAUAGCAAAACAAGCAUGAAUUGGACAAACAUCCAAGUAGGUUUUUAAAAUAUGUUAGUGGCAAAAAUACUCCAAAUAAACAAUCAGUUUUUGGUUCUAAACCGUACUGCAAACUCUGAGAUAACCCACAAUAUAGUUUACGCAUUAGGAAGAAAAGAUCUUUUCCUAAGAGAAGGUUUUAUUGUUUUGGUUUUUAAGAAAACUUUUAGUAUAUUAUGUGGCAAAAAUAUCAUUAGCAUCUGGGGAAUCUUCCAUGUGUUGUGACCAGAGAAGCUGAAAAUUGCCCUACCAGAACAGACCAAUGAUCCUUCUCUCUCUCUCUCUGUGUGGUUAUUGCCACAUUUUCUUGAGGCAAUCUCAAGAAACCCCAUAAUGGAAAAUUAUGGAAUACUUUAUCCAUAAAUAUCUAUUCCAUUUGUUUAUAAUGUACAAAUUUAACUCUGUUUUCUAAAGCUGAAAUAAUCGGCGAAAUCAGAGGGUUCAAUGCUAGAGUAGAAUCUUGAACUCUGUCCCCGUGUUUAUUCAUGUAGCUCCACUCCCUAUGUCCAAGAAUCUGCUUUUGACAUGCAAGGCAUGUGACAAUCUUCCCCACCCUUUGAAAUGAGGAUACGCAUGUACAACCACAAGUUGCAAUUCUAGUUACUUCCAAGACAACUUAAAACUGAAGGCUAAUACACAAUCCUUAAACUUGUUUUAACACACAGUUGUACAAUACCUAUAUCUCUGUACAACAAGAGCUAUUAAUUUCACAAAGCUUGUUUGCUCUUUAUCGGUCCACUGAAUUGCAUUCAUUUUAUGUAUAUAGUGCAAAUACUACAAGAGGUUGAAUGUUUCCAGAACCGCAAGUAACUUCUACUCUUUGGCUCUUAUUGUAAUAUAAAGGAACCUUGCCCAUGCCUGUCUGAACAAUAAACCAUGAAUUGUACCUUGUGAAUUUAAAACCAUUAUUUAUUACUUUUAUUAAAUGGUCUUACAGCCUGCGAAAAGGUAAGUUUACCUGACCUCUAAUACUUCUGCAAGAAACAGCAAAAAAAUUACUCAAAUUUUAGUAGCCUUUUUCACCAUUUCCCCACAGGCCUUCCAGUUAAACCCCUCACUGGCUUUUACUGUUUAUCACAUCACAUAAGGGCACUUCUCCUUCCUUAAAAAAAAUGAAUAAAAAAAUCCCAUGUUCAAGAUACUUCAGUAAUGAGCAUAGUAUAAAUGGGAAGAUGAAAAGAGAUACCAACAUCAGACAAACUGAAAAUAUUUUAAAAAAUAAAACUAUAAUCAUAGUUUGAUC